AGCAUAUCAAUAAGCGGAGGAAAAGAACCAACAGGGAUUGCCCUAGUAACGGCGAGUGAAGCGGCAACAGCUCAAAUUUGAAAUCUGGCGCAAGCCCGAGUUGUAAUUUGUAGAGGAUGUUUCUGGCGACGUACCUUCCGAGUUCCCUGGAACGGGACGCCAUAGAGGGUGAGAGCCCCGUACGGUUGGUUGCCUAGCCUUUGUGAAACUCCUUCGACGAGUCGAGUAGUUUGGGAAUGCUGCUCUAAAUGGGAGGUAUACGUCUUCUAAAGCUAAAUACCGGCCAGAGACCGAUAGCGCACAAGUAGAGUGAUCGAAAGAUGAAAAGCACUUUGAAAAGAGGGUUAAAUAGUACGUGAAAUUGUUGAAAGGGAAGCGUUUAUGACCAGACUUGGGUAGGUUGAUCAUCCGUGGUUCUCCGCGGUGCACUCUGCCUGCCUAGGCCAGCAUCAGUUCAGUUCGGGGGAUAAAGGCUUCGGGAAUGUAGCUCCCUCGGGAGUGUUAUAGACCGUUGCGUAAUACCCUGAUCUGGACUGAGGUUCGCGCACUGCAAGGAUGCUGGCGUAAUGGUCAUCAGCGACCCGUCUUGAAACACGGACCAAGGAGUCGUCUUCGUAUGCGAGUGUUCGGGUGUCAAACCCCUACGCGUAAUGAAAGUGAACGUAGGAGAGAGCUUCGGCGCAUCUCCGACCGAUCCUGAUGUUCUCGGAUGGAUUUGAGUAAGAGCAUACGGGGCCGGACCCGAAAGAAGGUGAACUAUGCCUGUAUAGGGUGAAGCCAGAGGAAACUCUGGUGGAGGCUCGCAGCGGUUCUGACGUGCAAAUCGAUCGUCAAAUAUGGGCAUGGGGGCGAAAGACUAAUCGAACCUUCUAGUAGCUGGUUUCCGCCG
This 889-nucleotide ribosomal RNA is filed under the name Clonostachys sp. Its description in RNAcentral is "partial large subunit ribosomal RNA". It matches the Rfam family "Eukaryotic large subunit ribosomal RNA", at positions 37 to 963 of the family's 3401-position model. Lineage: Eukaryota; Fungi; Ascomycota; Sordariomycetes; Hypocreales; Bionectriaceae. The record is from RNAcentral.